Molecule: long non-coding RNA, 460 nt
Organism: Hyla sarda
Lineage: Eukaryota; Metazoa; Chordata; Amphibia; Anura; Hylidae
Exons: 3
Source: RefSeq, a predicted model, not a curated record
AAAUCAAAAGUUUUGUCUUUCAGAAGGUGGAAAUAUAACCAGGCCCCAUCCAUUAAUUCAUUAGAAUCCCAUUAGAGGAUAAUCCACCCCCCUCCAUUCUGUGGGGCUUUAUUAGCUAUUCUUAAAGAGACGGUAACUAGACAGAAAAUACGUCCUUGGAAAUUAGUUAAAAAAAAUAAAUUGUUAAGUGGAGAAAAGUGGCCUGAGAAAACAAUGGGGAUUAGUGCGGCCGAUGUAUCUGCGAUUAAUGGAGAGGAUGGUAGGGCCUGCAGUUGCUUCACAAAAAUCUUGCGGAGCGAAAUCACAGCCAGAAUGAUGCAGUUUUACCACAAUAUAUAAGAAAGUUACAACGAAAACCGAGUAAUGAGCUUUUCUCAGCUUUAACAGGAACAGAUGCACGAUGACCAUCAAGACACAAAGCAUGAGAGACACCAGGACCAGGAUGAGAGUGCGGUGGGAU